RNAcentral lists this ribosomal RNA (484 nucleotides) under uncultured bacterium. RNAcentral's name for it is "partial 16S ribosomal RNA". It matches the Rfam family "Bacterial small subunit ribosomal RNA", at positions 30 to 507 of the family's 1533-position model. The record is from RNAcentral.
AUUGAACGCUGGCGGCAGGCCUAACACAUGCAAGUCGAGCGGAUGAAGGGAGCUUGCUCCUGGAUUCAGCGGCGGACGGGUGAGUAAUGCCUAGGAAUCUGCCUGGUCGUGGGGGAUAACGUCCGGAAACGGGCGCUAAUACCGCAUACGUCCUGAGGGAGAAAGUGGGGGAUCUUCGGACCUCACGCUAUCAGAUGAGCCUAGGUCGGAUUAGCUAGUUGGUGGGGUAAAGGCCUACCAAGGCGACGAUCCGUAACUGGUCUGAGAGGAUGAUCAGCCACACUGGAACUGAGACACGGUCCAGACUCCUACGGGAGGCAGCAGUGGGGAAUAUUGGACAAUGGGCGAAAGCCUGAUCCAGCCAUGCCGCGUGUGUGAAGAAGGUCUUCGGAUUGUAAAGCACUUUCAGUUGGGAGGAAGGGCAGUAAGUUAAUACGUUGCUGUUUUGACGGUACCAAAAGAAUAAGCACCGGCUAACUUCGUG